CCGUUACUUACAGUUUGUAGUAUUGGUGUUCGGUUCGGCGUUGUGUAGGAUAGCUGGGAGACUGUGAAGCGCUAACGCCAGUUAGUGUGGAGUCGUCGUUGAAAUACCAGUCUGGUCGUGCUGGAUGUCUAACCUGGGUCCGUGAUCCGGAUCAGGGACAGUGUCUGAUGGGUAGUUUAACUGGGGCGGUUGCCUCCUAAAGAGUAACGGAGGCGCCCAAAGGUUCCCUCAGCCUGGUUGGCAAUCAGGUGUUGAGUGUAAGUGCACAAGGGAGCUU
RNAcentral lists this non-coding RNA (277 nucleotides) under Streptomyces afghaniensis 772. RNAcentral's name for it is "Bacterial large subunit ribosomal RNA". It matches the Rfam family "Bacterial large subunit ribosomal RNA", at positions 2098 to 2370 of the family's 2925-position model. Lineage: Bacteria; Bacillati; Actinomycetota; Actinomycetes; Kitasatosporales; Streptomycetaceae. The record is from Rfam by way of RNAcentral.